UCCAGCCAUGCCGCGUGUGUGAAGAAGGCCUUCGGGUUGUAAAGCACUUUUGUUGGGGAAGAAACCGACCGGACUAAUACUCCGGUUGAAUGACGGUACCCAAAGAAUAAGCACCGGCUAACUUCGUGCCAGCAGCCGCGGUAAUACGAAGGGUGCAAGCGUUACUCGGAAUUACUGGGCGUAAAGCGUGCGUAGGCGGUUUGUUAAGUCUGCUGUGAAAGCCCUGGGCUCAACCUGGGAACUGCAGUGGAUACUGGCAAGCUAGAGUGUGUCAGAGGAUGGUGGAAUUCCCGGUGUAGCGGUGAAAUACGUAGAGAUCGGGAGGAACACCAGUGGCGAAGGCGGCCAUCUGGGACAACACUGACGCUGAGGCACGAAAGCGUGGGGAGCAAACAGGAUUAGAUACCCUGGUAGUCCACGCCCUAAACGAUGCGAACUGGACGUUGGGCACACUUAGGUGCUCAGUGUCGAAGCUAACGCGUUAAGUUCGCCGCCUGGGGAGUACGGUCGCAAGACUGAAACUCAAAGGAAUUGACGG
Molecule: ribosomal RNA, 538 nt
Filed under: uncultured Dokdonella sp.
Lineage: Bacteria; Pseudomonadati; Pseudomonadota; Gammaproteobacteria; Lysobacterales; Rhodanobacteraceae
Description: bacterial SSU rRNA
Rfam family: Bacterial small subunit ribosomal RNA
Source: RNAcentral